UACGUAGGUGGCAAGCGAUACUCGGAAUCACUAGGCGUAAAGCGCAGGUAGGCGGUUUGGUAAGUCUUUUGUGAAAGCUCCCGGCUCAACUGGGAGAGGUCCUUGGAUACUGGCGGACUUGAGGGAGGCAGAGGAAAGUGGAAUUCCCGGUGUAGUGGUGAUAUGCGUAGAUAUCGGGAGGAACACCAGUGGCGAAGGCGGCUUUCUGGGCCUUACCUGACGCUGAGACGCGAAAGCGUGGGGAGCGAACCGG
This 253-nucleotide ribosomal RNA is filed under the name uncultured prokaryote. RNAcentral describes it as "partial 16S ribosomal RNA". It matches the Rfam family "Bacterial small subunit ribosomal RNA", at positions 524 to 776 of the family's 1533-position model. The record is from RNAcentral.